Molecule: long non-coding RNA, 1867 nt
Organism: Acipenser ruthenus (sterlet)
Lineage: Eukaryota; Metazoa; Chordata; Actinopteri; Acipenseriformes; Acipenseridae
Exons: 4
Source: RefSeq, a predicted model, not a curated record
CAGCAUCAGGCUGGCAGUCCCUUCAGCAUCGGGCAACUGGAUAAUGGCCCAGAUUUACAGCAGCACUGAUGAGCACUUGGAGGUCUUCACCACUAUCUUCUCCUCCAAAGGUGGUAGCAGUGGUUGACUACAAGCCCCACUGGUCGGAUGAGUUAGUCCUGUGCCAGGGUGAUGUCAUCCAUGUUCUCUACAAAGAUGAUGAAGUGUGGUGGUUUGGAUGCCUGAAGAAUGAGCAGCAAGGAUACUUCCCGUCUGCUUACGUCGCAACGCAGAAAAUCCAAGUCUUCACCCAUCAUCAUCAGCUCAUUAAAAAGGAGUUUGAUCCACAAGCCAAAUACAGAUGUCAGUACUUCCACUGAAGGGCAGGUCCCUCUCGCCUGGGCUGCUCUGCUCUUUCUUACAAGGGCCUGUCUGUCACCCCCUCCACAGGGAUUACACAAACAGCAGUAAACAUAGCUUGAAGACCCAGAAGAAUGUGAAGGGAGAACUUGUCCUCCCUUUGGGCCCCAAUGCCACUCUGCCCCUGACAGGGGAUGUGUCUCAGAACUCGCCCAACAUCCUACACAAGAUCCUGAUAAGGAACAAGAAGAGGGGAGAGUACCUGGGGGCCACAAACAACGCUUAUGAACCCGACUGAGAGAAGUGUGCUGGAAGCCUGUCUGUAAUUACAGGAAACGUGAGGAAGGAAGGAAGUGAAGUAAUAGUUAUAUUAAGCAAUGACUCAAAGCAAGGCCAUGCAACCACAGCUGGCAUGUAGACAUGCAAUGGACUUUCUCUGUCUGACAGAAGCAGUGUUUUGCUCAUACUUAACUAUUAAGCAUUCCUUCUGCCCAGGACAGUUUCUGAAGAGUAAUCUAAUGCUAAAAUAAAGGGACCUUUUAAAGCUCUAUUAACAUUAAUAUAAGAGUUACUCAUUUGAGUUGUAUGACAUAGAUAAGGUGUCAUGUUUCUCUGAAUAUACAAGAAAUAUAAACUUGUGUCUCUAGGGUUUCAAUAUAGACGCUAAUGCAAAAAAUAAUAAUAAUGAUAAUAAUGUAAUAAAAAAAACAAGAAAGGUUAACAAUUGAACUGCUCUAAACAGUUUUUUUUUGGGUUUUUUUUACCAUUGAAAUAAUCCAGCCAUUAGGCCUUUCUGAAUACAAAUAACUACAAUGUUGUCUCAUUCAUUUUGUUUUUGUUUGUUUUUCUUUUGAAAUGUCAGUGUUCCUAUGCUUUUAUAGUAUUUGUUUUCCCAUUAGACUCGCAUUGUCUGAACUGUUCUGUAUGAUGUACUGUGUAACCAUUCAUAACAUGUGAAAAAUAUGAAAGCACUUUUUAAUAUAAUACAAAAAAAAUCUCAUUAUGAAAAAAAUUCUCUAGCAAAAUGUUGUGGUGUCCACGAACUCUAAUUGAAUAUCUCUGGCUUGUAAUUUAUAAUUCUGUAAUUCUUUGUCAAGUAUUAUGGAUAUUGUACAAUACAAAUUAAAAGUUUGGCGAUAGUGUUGUUAAGGGGGUUUGCCUCAUAUGUUAUUUGAAAUAGGACUUCAAAUUUGUUGUAUUAUAUAAACACAAGACAAAAAAAGGUCUUUGUGCACAACUGUACUCUAUACACAUGUUUAAUUGCAGUGACACAUGAUUGACUAAGCGUGAAAGCUAUAUCUCUCAAGCACAAAUUUGAUGAGGCUUUGUAUGGACAUUUGUUACAAAACAUUAUGGCAUAAAUGUUGCUUUGUAAAUCAGUUUUUCAGAAAAUCAAAUGGAAGUUUGUACAUAUAUAGGGUGCUAUGUGACACAGUGGGUGAAUUGCAUGUGUACCAGUGUGUCAUUUAUAGUUAAUGCAUAUACUGUUUGUAUGAAUGAAACUAUUUUUAAUAAAACUUUGUGCAGU